GAAGCUGACCAGACAGUCGCCGCUUCGUCGUCGUCCUCUUCGGGGGAGACGGGCGGAGGGGAGGAAAGUCCGGGCUCCAUAGGGCAGGGUGCCAGGUAACGCCUGGGGGGCGCAAGCCCACGUUCAUAAGGUACGGCCCGUACUGAACCCGGGUAGGCUGCUUGAGCCAGUGAGCGAUUGCUGGCCUAGAUGAAUGACUGUCCACGACAGAACCCGGCUUAACGGUCAGCUUCCUCA
This 237-nucleotide RNase P RNA is filed under the name Klebsiella sp. RNAcentral describes it as "RNase P RNA component class A". It matches the Rfam family "Bacterial RNase P class A". From Rfam's summary of the family: Ribonuclease P (RNase P) is a ubiquitous endoribonuclease, found in archaea, bacteria and eukarya as well as chloroplasts and mitochondria. Its best characterised activity is the generation of mature 5'-ends of tRNAs by cleaving the 5'-leader elements of precursor-tRNAs. The record is from RNAcentral. Lineage: Bacteria; Pseudomonadati; Pseudomonadota; Gammaproteobacteria; Enterobacterales; Enterobacteriaceae.